This 117-nucleotide ribosomal RNA is filed under the name Paramormyrops kingsleyae. Lineage: Eukaryota; Metazoa; Chordata; Actinopteri; Osteoglossiformes; Mormyridae. The record is from RNAcentral.
CUGAGCAGUUGCACCACCUGCUGGUCAGACUAGGUAAUCAACCUGAAGCUAGGCAGGUUUGGGCCUGGCCAGUACUUGGUUGGGAGACCAAUGAGGAAUGCUGGGUUACUGCUGGAC